This 68-nucleotide transfer RNA is filed under the name Marmota monax (woodchuck). RNAcentral's name for it is "tRNA.Ser". Lineage: Eukaryota; Metazoa; Chordata; Mammalia; Rodentia; Sciuridae. The record is from RNAcentral.
GGAUUGUGGCUCAGUGGUACAGCGCUCGCCUACUAUGUAUGAGGCACUGGGUUCGAUCCUCAGCACCA